GAUCAUUAGAUUAUAUAUAUUUGUGAAUUUAUACAGCAAACAAUAAUUUUAUAAUCAACACCAAAAAAAUUAAAACUUUUAACAAUGGAUCUCUUGGUUCUCGUAUCGAUGAAGAACGCAGCGAAACGCGAUAUUUCUUGUGAAUUGCAGAAGUGAAUCAUCAGUUUUUGAACGCACAUUGCACUUUGGGGUAUCCCCCAAAGUAUACUUGUUUGAGCGUUGUUUCUCUCUUGGAAUUGCAUUGCUUUUCUAAAAUUUCGAAUCAAAUUCGUUGAAAAACAACACUAU
This 288-nucleotide unclassified non-coding RNA is filed under the name Geotrichum candidum. RNAcentral's name for it is "sequence contains 18S rRNA gene, ITS1, 5.8S rRNA gene, ITS2, 28S rRNA gene". The stretch from base 74 to 222 matches the Rfam family "5.8S ribosomal RNA". From Rfam's summary of the family: 5.8S ribosomal RNA (5.8S rRNA) is a component of the large subunit of the eukaryotic ribosome. Lineage: Eukaryota; Fungi; Ascomycota; Dipodascomycetes; Dipodascales; Dipodascaceae. The record is from RNAcentral.